AACGAACGCUGGCGGCAUGCCUAACACAUGCAAGUCGAACGAGACCUUCGGGUCUAGUGGCGCACGGGUGCGUAACGCGUGGGAACCUGCCCUUAGGUUCGGAAUAACUCCCCGAAAGGGGUGCUAAUACCGGAUAAUGUCUUCGGACCAAAGAUUUAUCGCGUUUGGAUGGGCCCGCGUUGGAUUAGCUAGUUGGUAGGGUAAAAGCCUACCAAGGCGACGAUCCAUAGCUGGUCUGAGAGGAAGGUCAGCCACACUGGGACUGGGACACGGCCCAGACUCCUACGCGAGGCAGCAGUGGGGAAUAGUGGACAAUGGGCGAAAGCCUGAUCCAGCAAUGCCGCGUGAGUGAUGAAGGCCGUAGAGUUGUAAAGCUCUAUUACCCGGGAUGAUAAUGACAGUACCGGGAGAAUAAGCUCCGGCUAACUCCGUG
This 433-nucleotide ribosomal RNA is filed under the name uncultured bacterium. RNAcentral's name for it is "partial 16S ribosomal RNA". It matches the Rfam family "Bacterial small subunit ribosomal RNA", at positions 29 to 507 of the family's 1533-position model. The record is from RNAcentral.